Molecule: long non-coding RNA, 784 nt
Organism: Oncorhynchus gorbuscha (pink salmon)
Lineage: Eukaryota; Metazoa; Chordata; Actinopteri; Salmoniformes; Salmonidae
Exons: 3
Source: RefSeq, a predicted model, not a curated record
UGUAGUACCGCCCCCGGAGGUGUAUCCAGUUGAUAUGGUAAAUAUAAAAAUGCCUGUGUUUGUAGCCAGCACUUUCAGCCAGAGGAUUUCGAAACUGAAUUAAAGUCUCAACUGAUGGGGGUUGCCAUGUCGUCGAUCGUUGAAAAGUGAUGCUAUUCCAUAGAUUCCCCCCCCCCUUCAGUUCAAAGAGGAAGGCAUCUGAUCAGCCAACAUUGAAGCAGAAAAUAAGUCAAGCUGAGAGUCCGAUCCCAUCAACAUCUGCAGAGGCAUCAAGCUCAGCACCAGCAACUAGUGAGACUUUCAGCACAAACAAAUAAUCUGCAAGAGGUCGACGCAUUGGGUGGCGAAGAAAGGGUACGAGAGGCUUGUCCACCUGGCUGUGGCGUGCAGAAAGGACCUGCCGGUUGUCUACAAGGAGCCUGAGUUAUAGCUCCCCAAACCCAAUAUCCCUGCCAACAUCGCCAAAGCCUGCUAAACCAGCUGCCAUUACUUAACACAAGAAAAGGUUCACCCUCUGAAGAGCAUUCUGGAACCUGCCUGGAACAUUCAAGCAACGCAACAUCCAUAUUUGUGUAGUAUAAUAUAGAAUACCUAGUAUGCUCACAACUACAUUGUGGUAUAGAUAUUGCUAGUUGUUGUACAUACAGCAUAUAUAAGUAUACUGUCAAGUGGGUAAAUGAUUCCAGCUGUAUCAGAAAAGUGUUGACUUCAACUUCUGGGUCAAUUAAUUGUGAUAUUCAUGAAAUGUAUUUGGAUAAACUAGCGAAUGUCUUACUGCACAAAA